GAUGAACGCUGGCGGCGUGCUUAACACAUGCAAGUCGAACGAUGAAGCCCAGCUUGCUGGGUGGAUUAGUGGCGCACGGGUGAGUAACACGUGAGUAACCUGCCCUUAACUCUGGGAUAAGCCUGGGAAACUGGGUCUAAUACCGGAUAGGAGCGUCCACCGCAUGGUGGGUGUUGGAAAGAUUUAUCGGUUUUGGAUGGACUCGCGGCCUAUCAGCUUGUUGGUGGGGUAAUGGCUCACCAAGGCGACGACGGGUAGCCGGCCUGAGAGGGUGACCGGCCACAUUGGGACUGAGACACGGCCCAGACUCCUACGGGAGGCAGCAGUGGGGAAUAUUGCACAAUGGGCGGAAGCCUGAUGCAGCAACGCCGCGUGAGGGAUGACGGCCUUCGGGUUGUAAACCGCUUUCGGUUGGGAAGAAGCGUGAGUGACGGUAACUGGAGAAGAAGCACCGGCUAACUACGUG
Molecule: ribosomal RNA, 466 nt
Filed under: uncultured bacterium
Lineage: Bacteria
Description: partial 16S ribosomal RNA
Rfam family: Bacterial small subunit ribosomal RNA
Source: RNAcentral